Molecule: non-coding RNA, 725 nt
Organism: Epinephelus lanceolatus (giant grouper)
Lineage: Eukaryota; Metazoa; Chordata; Actinopteri; Perciformes; Serranidae
Source: RefSeq, a predicted model, not a curated record
UUAGAAUGCAUUAACUGCAUUGUAACUUUACCGAUUUCAUUUUGACGAGUGGUUUAUAUAAGGAAACAAAGUUAGUGAUCAGAAAAAGGUAAGAAAAUUUGUAAUUUCUCAACAAGUGGUGAAAAAGUUCAGUUCAUUAAGUGCUUGUUGGUCAAAUGUUUCAACUUGCAGGUGGGUCAAACCAACAUAGUUGCACAUACUCCAUCAUCCAUGAAGCUCCAGCACUGGAAAACAACUCUGAGAUUUCACAGCCCAAUGAGCCCAUUUAUUCUCUGAUCGACAAACCAAAUUAAGAAAAUCCUCAGGACUUAAUAAAGAAUGUGUCACCAUCUGCAACUGGACAUCCAUCCAGCAGCUCUGCUAUUUAUGUUAUAAAUUGUGUUUUAGCAACAUUUAUUUUAAAAGAAUUAAAAAAACACAAACAAACAAAAAAUUUAUAUAUCAGCACUUUGUUUUAUUAUUUCAAUAGGUCCAAAGUUAAUUUGACUCUUUCGAAUUUAUAAUUUUAUUUAAGUUUGUGUGAAUUUGUUAUUAAAAUAAUGCAAUAAAUCAUAUUUUUGACUUUAAUUGACAGAUACAUCUGAACAAAUCUGUGGUACCCAGAAUAAAAGGAGCCUAUUCCAGUUGACAUUGGGCGAGAGGCAGGGUACACCCUGGACAGGUUGCCAGACUAUUGCGGGGCUAAAACAUAGAGACAAACAACCAUUCAUGCUCACAUGACACCU